Molecule: small RNA, 5098 nt
Filed under: Cryptococcus neoformans H99
Lineage: Eukaryota; Fungi; Basidiomycota; Tremellomycetes; Tremellales; Cryptococcaceae
Description: Cryptococcus neoformans var. grubii H99 hypothetical RNA
Source: RNAcentral
CUCUUCACCAUGUCCCGCUCGCUCUUCAUCCAUUCAGCUAACGUUUCCCAGCCGCAGAGGGACGUUUGACAGACACCUUUCUUCCCUCUUUUGCCAGACUACCGCUGGACGCUGACCGCUUUGCAGCCUUUUCGCGUAUACGCAAGGUAAGAAGUUCUGCCCAUAGCGGGUUUGAAGGGAUCUUGCCCACAAGACCCUGAAGGACUUCCAUCCUAUACGCGUGAUCCAUCAGUAUCCGGGAAAUGCGACGGAUUGCAAGCCAAAAUGUAAAGGAAAACUCACCAUCCCGCCUUGGCCAUAUCCGUAUCAGCCAUGAACAUGAUUCCUUCCCCAUCCUUAAAUUCAAUCAUAAAGCUCCUCGGUCUCUGACCAAAACCUUCAUCCGAAUCCCUCGGGCGCAUUGUCAUCUUUGACUUGGGCGUACCCGGCUGAUCCUCGUUGAGAUCUAUGAUGGACACUGCUUGACGGAGGUCAAUCAUGGCUACUUUUUUCUUGGUAACUUCGUUGAUUGCUACGAGAUUACCACCGAUGAUCUUGAACAAACGCCUUUUAGGGUUCUUCAUAGGGAAAACAGUCAGCUACCUUCCUUCCAGCCUCGCUCAAUGGAUCGAUUGAUUGUUUUCUUGACUCACGUUCAAAUCCCCACCAUCUUGGGUCAACACUCCAUCGUAAUACUCAUGUUCAUGCCAAGCAUGGUGCCUCAACCCUCUCAGACAGUCAUCAAUACACUGUGGCAACUCGUCCGCAUUCAAACCAGGAAUAGGUGGCAACCUGAACACUUGUAACGUAAUCUUUGCCAAUGCUCUCCUCGCACCUUCAGCUUCUUUGCUGCCACCUGAUCCACCUGAUCCUAACGACCCAAUAUUACUAGCAUCGCCCUUAAACAUUGCAAACAUCGGGUAACGAAUUUCAAGUACGCGGGCUUCACAAUUCUUGGCAAUAGUCUUGAACUGGAUAUGCGUCUUUGCAAUCGUGCCAUUUGUUGAGUCGAGGAGAUAAUUGGCGAUGGUCUCCUUUUUCGCGACUGUGGAUGUAGAAGCCGGAGCUGCGAGCCUCACGUCUUUUUUGGGCGCAGCACCUUUCGGUACAGGACCUUUGGGUUUACGAGGAGAUCCGAAAAGAGCACGGAAGUGACCUCCAUGGGCCUUGGCCGGUGAAGCCGGAGCAGUUGGCCGUGGUGGGUUGUUUUUCUCGUGGAUGAGUUUGAGGAUGUGGGGAUCGCGGCGGAUAUCGAUGGAAAGAGAAAACUCAAAACUGGGGUGUUCCACUCUACACCCACAUCAGUAGACGUUCUCCAGCUGGUUAUGAAAAGAAAAACCCACAAACUGAACUCUUGAUUCACCCUCGCACUUUCUUUCAGCACCGAAUAAGGCGUCUUGAUGUAGUCAAUCCCAUUAUCCAGGGUAAUACAAAAGUGCGUUUGUUCUUGCGGGAUGGGAAACUGGACACCCUCAAUACCAAGUACUUUGACAAAGAUGGUACCGGUAGCCUUUCCGAGUUCAGUUUCACGCUCUCGCAUUGCCUUAAUAGCUGCCGCGUGCUCGUGCUGGUACAUUAUAGUCAGCUCAUAGGACCGUACUACAUCUCCGGAAAAAGCCAACUCACAAGGUCGGAUGGUCGUCUGAGGGCUUUCCAGGCUUUACCAACUUCGAGGUUACCGGCAUUACUAUGGGCUAUCUUGCCGUUGUAUGAAGCCCGUACAACAGGUAGUUCUCGAACCUUGUACCCUCGCUUUGUUACUAGCAUCAAGGAUCGACCUCUCUUCGUCAUCAAUCCCUAACGUCAGCCUCGGGUUUCCUCUGGUACCCCUCCUCGCUGCCACCCCCGAAGGAGUCCCAUUGUUAUCGGCAUUAGGAGGACCCAUCAUGACUCCUCCUACUCUUUCUCGAGCCCACACUAAUUGCGCUGACGGCACUCGCUGUGCUAACCUGGCGAUCCCUAUCCUGGCGACGUUUGGCAAUGAUUGCUUGCUCUCGUGCGGUAGGUCCAUCUUUCGAGGACUGUGUACCGCUGAAGCUGGACCGAGGGGAGAUGGAUGUUUCCGAAAUCGGACGGACAUUGUUACUAACUCGCCUUUUGGAUACCGGCGAUCCAGGACCAACUUCAAACUCCUCUGCCUUGGAGUUUGCGUCAAGUAACCCGUUGGGAUUUCUCAAGAUACCAGCCGGCUUAUCUAUUUCCUUUCCGGGGGUUGGUACACGAGACAUCGCAGCAGCAAUUGUCCCACUUACAUCUCUCUCCAUUUUCUCUCCUCCCUCCUUGUUCCCCCCAGCAUCCCGACGUACAAGUGCAACAAUCUUGUCCAAAGCAGAUUUGGCUUCACCACCUUCACGUUCAGACUGCUUGAAAACCUCAUGGGCAGACUGGGUCUGGCUUCGGGGUCGCAUACCGGGUCGUUCGGCAGAAUGGGAUUGAGAUUGGGGACAAGUAACGCGGCCGAGUAUUUCAGAUUUGGGUCUGGGCUUGCUAGGAGUUGAAGGUGCACUCGAGACCAUAGCAGGCGAUUCUGCAGGGGGUGGCGGCAGGUCCUUAUCCAUUGACACUCUCCUAUUUCUCUUCAUCUCGAAAUCACCCAAACUCGUCCUUGAAAAGCUCUUUGACAAGGUAUCCAUGUCCAUACUAGCUGGGCGGCGGCUGAGGCUGCCAUCAGCGAUACGCUGUUGGAUCGUCUCGCGAAUCAUUUCACGUGAAAUGCGUUGACGAAUACGAUUUGUAGUCGAGUCAUGCGUCGUCUUCUUUUCUUGGGAUUGGGAUUUUAAGGGAGAAGGCGAAAAGUCGCUUGCAGAGUUCGAGGUGAUCUUCGGAAUGUCUUCUUUGGUCGCUCUUUCCACUUCAAUAGGCGCCGUCACCUCCUUCUGCUCGACAGAGCUCACCCCGAAGGGAAUGGAUUCAGAUUUGACAACCUUUUCGCCUUUAUUGGCAGCAGAGUCAAAGUUGAUGGUUUCAAAAUAGAAGUUGAACUCUGGCAACCUGUGCGGGCUUUCUGGUUUGGUCGCUUCAACUGUAGAACGAGGAGUAGGCGGUGUGAGAGGACGAUCAAUAUCGUCACUUACGGACUCGGAUUUGGAGUCAAUACCAGAGAUAGAUGGAGAUGUAGCUCGCUCUUCGAGAGGCUGAACAGCCUGUUCAAAAGUCGGCGCAGAAUUGAAGAAGGGGGAGGUCUUAUCAAUGUCUGGCAGACUGAAUCCGCCAACAACUAAUUUGUUCUCCUUUAUAUAUGUUAGCGAAUACAGCCAGCCACGGCCUGCCAAAAAACUCACUUCAAUCUCUUUCUGAGGGCUCAUCACAGGACUCGGUACUUCAACAGGCAUCGGCGCAGGAGGAGGAACUUUUGGCAACUUCCUGAUGGGCUUCUCUUCUACCACUUCUUCUUCUCUCCAUUCAAACACUGGCUCAGACUCUGACAAAGGAGAAGUGGGAGGGGAUGAAGUAGGGACAGAUCUGUUCGGCCUGCCAGGCAUACCCAAACCCAGUUCUCUAGUUGCCAACAUCCUCGCAGCCAGAACUCUAUCUUUAUGACUUGUCCUUCCCAGUGGCACACCAUCCUCUUCUCGGUUCUUAGAUUCUUCGGAAGGCAGAAUGGUUUUGGUUGCCGUUUGAAGAGUGAUAAAUGGAUCAGGCAAGGGACCAGAUUGGUGUGCGUGAGGUUCUGGCCCUUGCUGACUCUUUGGCUCCGGGGCGCGAGAGGAUAGGGAAGGUGUAACUGACGCGAAAGGAUCGUUAUAGUCAUGAUAGAAUGAAGGAGAGGUAGGAGUGAUGGGAGGAAGGAUUGAUGGCUGAGCCGCAUUGGCAUUGAAAAGCAUACGAUGUUCUUGAGCGUGCGGAAGGCUAGGUUGCUCUAUAGGAAUAUGUAAAACCGUCUUGUGCGCCUCGGCAGCACGCUCAGCGUGGUGCGUGCGGCCAUAAGGAAUCCCAGCUGAAUCAGUCUCGCUAAAGACGUCGUGGUUCCCAAACAGUGGCGAGGCAUGAACCGAGUCACCGAGACUUGGUGUAGCUAAGUAUGGUCUAUCAGACUCAUUCUCAGCCUCGGUGAAAGAAGUCUCGAGAGGAAUUUCAAACGCUGCUUGAUCUUGGAAUGCCGGAGUGUCCAUCUCGGGAGGAGAAAACAGACCUUCUUGCACAAGUGUGUCCAUAAAGUCGGCAGUGGUAGACUCGUUAUGCUGAGCGUCAUGAUCGUCAUGCGACUCUUGUUCGAUUUGUUCAUUUGGAGACACGUUCUCCUCCUCGAUGAGUAGAUCAUCCAAGCUAUUCUGGCGCUCAUCCUCCCAAUCCGCCUCAUCCUCCAUCUCUACGUCGAAACUUCCAUCGGCACUAGGUUCAGCACUAAGAAUUUCAUACUCCUUGACAUCGGGGGUAGGUUGAAACGUGACCGUCUUCUUCGAAGGACUGUCGUAGCCUUGGGAUGCACGACGAGGCCCGCGCAAACGACGAGAAGGUGUCAAGGCAGACUUCUGCGCUGUAGGAGUAGGCAUAGGCUCAAGAUCGGCAUGGUAAGAUGCAGAAAGCUGCUCGCGGAGAGGAGAAAGUCCAUUAGGUGGAGGCGCGAGAAAGACAUUUGAAGCCACAGAGCGAGGAGAGGAAAAUGUGGGCGAUCGGUGAGCCAUGGAACCGAGAGUACCAGGGGAAGCGCGACGUUGUUUGCCACCUGAAAUUCGCCUUGGAGAAGGUGACGAAAAGACGUCGUCCAUCUCGACGGGAACCGUUCCAGGAGCCGCAGAAGCAGCUUCAUCUGCUUGGUUGUCAGAAGCAGCGGACAAGCCACUAGGUGACUUUUUAAAAGGCGACUUGCUGACAUAGCUCCCUUCAACGAGUCCCUUGAGACCCAUACUAGCCCUUGGCAAUCUCUUGCCGUAUCUGACAUCUGGACUCUCAUUCUCCUUGCUCCCGGAAACAUCGCGCUCGCCAGACGAUCGACGUUCACCAUUCGACACAGGAAAAGCAACUCGUGGACGUUCGCCGGAGACUUUACGUUGACCGUUGACAGCCGCACCACCACUGGGUGAUCGGCUUCCACUUCUCUUAGCAGAUAUCCCAAGACCAAUCACCGUCUUUGGCGUCGAUCCAACACCUCUCGCGCUUGGCGCUACUUCUCCCAACU